UGGGGAAUAUUGGACAAUGGGGGAAACCCUGAUCCAGCAAUGCCGCGUGUGUGAAGAAGGCCUUCGGGUUGUAAAGCACUUUUAUCGGGAACGAAACGUUGUCGGUUAAUACCCGGCAUAACUGACGGUACCCGAGGAAUAAGCACCGGCUAACUCCGUGCCAGCAGCCGCGGUAAUACGGAGGGUGCAAGCGUUAAUCGGAAUUACUGGGCGUAAAGGGCUCGUAGGCGGCCAACUAAGUCGGACGUGAAAUCCCCAGGCUCAACCUGGGAACUGCGUCCGAUACUGGAUGGCUUGAAUCCGGGAGAGGGAUGCAGAAUUCCAGGUGUAGCGGUGAAAUGCGUAGAUAUCUGGAGGAAUACCGGUGGCGAAGGCGGCAUCCUGGACCGGCAUUGACGCUGAGGAGCGAAAGCCAGGGGAGCAAAC
This 426-nucleotide ribosomal RNA is filed under the name uncultured bacterium. RNAcentral's name for it is "bacterial SSU rRNA". It matches the Rfam family "Bacterial small subunit ribosomal RNA", at positions 355 to 773 of the family's 1533-position model. The record is from RNAcentral.